Molecule: long non-coding RNA, 288 nt
Filed under: Helianthus annuus (common sunflower)
Lineage: Eukaryota; Viridiplantae; Streptophyta; Magnoliopsida; Asterales; Asteraceae
Description: hypothetical non coding rna
Source: RNAcentral
GUUCUGGUCGUACAAAAUACAGGAGCCAAGAAGGGCUCUCAAGCUCAAACCCUAACAAGCAUAAAAUCAACAAAUUGAAGGGGUAAAUCCAACCUAAAUCGAAAUCCAAGCACGAAUUCAUGAUCACCUCGAUGAAGGGAUCAUAAGUUUGGCUCUUGACAAGCUAGAUGGAGGCUUGGGGAAAGAAGCGGGUCAAACGGAUCGUAUACGCGGAAAAGAGCAUAAUCCGGAUACUAGGAAUAAAUAUCGAUUGAAUGUUGACAUCGCUAUUACUUAGCGGCUACUAAG